Pelobates cultripes (western spadefoot toad) is the source of this 248-nucleotide non-coding RNA. Lineage: Eukaryota; Metazoa; Chordata; Amphibia; Anura; Pelobatidae. The record is from the annotation of a GenBank genome assembly.
GGACGGCACAUUGUCCUUGUAAUGGAGAUCCAGCAGGGUGGCCACCCAGUAAUCAGCACAAGUUAGAAUGUGGGCAACUCGGCAGUCAUUGCGCAGGCACUUGGUGACUCUAGAUAACCUCAGGCCGAUUGCACGUCCCCGUGACGGCGACAACGCAUUCGGAUGUCUGCCCUUUCAACUUUCAAUGGUACUUUCUGCGCCUACCACGGUGACCACGGGUAACAGGGAAUCAGGGUUCGAUUCUGGAG